RNAcentral lists this ribosomal RNA (381 nucleotides) under uncultured bacterium. RNAcentral describes it as "bacterial SSU rRNA". It matches the Rfam family "Bacterial small subunit ribosomal RNA", at positions 1005 to 1386 of the family's 1533-position model. The record is from RNAcentral.
UAAUGUACCUUCUCUUCGGAGCAACAGUGACAGGUGGUGCAUGGUUGUCGUCAGCUCGUGUCGUGAGAUGUUGGGUUAAGUCCCGCAACGAGCGCAACCCCUGUCCUUAGUAGCCAGCGGUUAGGCUGGGCACUCUAGGGAGACUGCCAGGGAUAACCUGGAGGAAGGCGGGGAUGACGUCAAAUCAUCAUGCCCCUUAUGACUUGGGCUACACACGUGCUACAAUGGCGUAAACAAAGGGAAGCGGAGCCGUGAGGCCGAGCAAAUCUCAAAAAUAACGUCUCAGUUCGGACUGUAGUCUGCAACCCGACUACACGAAGCUGGAAUCGCUAGUAAUCGCAAAUCAAAAUGCUGCGGUGAAUACGUUCCCGGGUCUUGUAC